UCUCUAUGCCGACGCCCUUGUUGACUUUCGCUCUGUAAAUAAGAAAAUAUAAACUUAACUAUUAUGUAAUUGUUAUUUAAUGUAUGUUAUAGUGUAGUGCAAUGUCAAGAUUAUCUCAAGUUACAAUUGCAUCAGUUAAAAGCAGCCUCAAGGUUGGCAUCCAAGGACCUUCUCUGUGUCUGAAGAACAGCAAUUCCCCGGCACUGUUCACCAUGAUCUCGAUGUGGUCAUGACUAGAAACAACAAAUUAUUGAAUACAUAAUAUAUUUAUUCAUUUUUAAAGAUUAUGAUACCUUUACUGUUCACAGAUUAAA
This is a long non-coding RNA of Danaus plexippus (monarch butterfly), 314 nucleotides long. RefSeq lists it as uncharacterized. The record is from RefSeq and is a predicted model, not a curated record. NCBI's taxonomy places the organism in Eukaryota, Metazoa, Arthropoda, Insecta, Lepidoptera, Nymphalidae. The transcript has 2 exons.